Molecule: non-coding RNA, 113 nt
Organism: Brassica rapa (field mustard)
Lineage: Eukaryota; Viridiplantae; Streptophyta; Magnoliopsida; Brassicales; Brassicaceae
Source: Rfam
AGCCGUGCGAUAAGCACAUAGUGAACUUUCGCCUUUUACUAAAGAAUACCGUGGGCUUGUCGUACCAAGCGGCAUACACCUAUUUUUGGAGAGUUGUCUGUCUCAUAUGAGAU